RNAcentral lists this ribosomal RNA (188 nucleotides) under Gentiana lutea (yellow gentian). RNAcentral's name for it is "5.8S ribosomal RNA". The stretch from base 5 to 160 matches the Rfam family "5.8S ribosomal RNA". Rfam says of the family: 5.8S ribosomal RNA (5.8S rRNA) is a component of the large subunit of the eukaryotic ribosome. It is transcribed by RNA polymerase I as part of the 45S precursor that also contains 18S and 28S rRNA. Functionally, it is thought that 5.8S rRNA may be involved in ribosome translocation. The record is from RNAcentral. Lineage: Eukaryota; Viridiplantae; Streptophyta; Magnoliopsida; Gentianales; Gentianaceae.
AAACGACUCUCGGCAACGGAUAUCUCGGCUCUCGCAUCGAUGAAGAACGUAGCGAACUGCGAUACUUGGUGUGAAUUGCAGAAUCCCGUGAACCAUCGAGUCUUUGAACGCAAGUUGCGCCCGAAGCCAUUAGGCCGAGGGCACGUCUGCCUGGGCGUCACGCAUCGCGUCGCCCCCCCACACCGUGC